Molecule: ribosomal RNA, 795 nt
Filed under: Burkholderiaceae bacterium
Lineage: Bacteria; Pseudomonadati; Pseudomonadota; Betaproteobacteria; Burkholderiales; Burkholderiaceae
Description: partial 23S ribosomal RNA
Rfam family: Bacterial large subunit ribosomal RNA
Source: RNAcentral
GUUAUAGGGACAAGUGAAUAAGUGCACAUGGUGGAUGCCUUGGCGAUUACAGGCGAUGAAGGACGUUGUAGCCUGCGAUAAGCUGCGGGGAGCUGGCAAACAAGCUUUGAUCCGCAGAUUUCCGAAUGGGGAAACCCGGCCGUAAGGUCAUCACACACUGAAUACAUAGGUGUGUGAAGCGAACGUGGCGAACUGAAACAUCUAAGUAGCUACAGGAAAAGAAAUCAACCGAGAUUCCCAAAGUAGUGGCGAGCGAAAUGGGAUCAGCCUGCAAGAUUUAGCAUCAUUGAUAGCAAAGCGCUCUGGAAAGUGCGGCCAUAGAGGGUGAUAGCCCCGUAUGCGAAAUCAGUGGUGUGGAACUAAGCUUGCGACAAGUAGGGCGGGACACGUGUAAUCCUGUCUGAACAUGGGGGGACCAUCCUCCAAGGCUAAAUACUCGUAAUCGACCGAUAGUGAACCAGUACCGUGAGGGAAAGGCGAAAAGAACCCCGGGAGGGGAGUGAAAUAGAACCUGAAACCGUGUGCAUACAAACAGUCGGAGCCUCGUAAGGGGUGACGGCGUACCUUUUGUAUAAUGGGUCAGCGACUUACAUUCAGUGGCGAGGUUAACCGAAUAGGGAAGCCGUAGCGAAAGCGAGUCCGAAUAGGGCGAUUCAGUCGCUGGGUGUAGACCCGAAACCAAGUGAUCUACUCAUGGCCAGGAUGAAGGUGCCGUAACAGGUACUGGAGGUCCGAACCCACUAAUGUUGAAAAAUUAGGGGAUGAGCUGUGGGUAGGGGUGAAAGGCUAAACAAA